RNAcentral lists this long non-coding RNA (1255 nucleotides) under Anas platyrhynchos platyrhynchos (common mallard). Its description in RNAcentral is "lncRNA (ENSAPLG00000026501.1)". Lineage: Eukaryota; Metazoa; Chordata; Aves; Anseriformes; Anatidae. The record is from RNAcentral.
CCGGGAUGGGGACACUGGGACGGGGACGGGGACACCGGGAUGGGGACACUGGGACGGGGACACCGGGACGGGGACGGGGACACCGGGAUGGGGACACCGGGAUGGGGACACUGGGACGGGGACACCGGGACGGGGACAAUGACACAGGGACAGUGGCAUGGGGACACGUUGCACGGGGACAAUUCCAUGGGGACAAUUAGACAAGGACAGUGACAUGGGGACACUUUGCAUGGGGACGGGGACACAGGGACAGGGACAAUUACACAGGGACAGUGGCACGGGGACGUGUUGCACGGGGACAAUUCCAUGGGGACAAUUAGACAAGGACAGUGACAUGGGGACACUUUGCAUGGGGGCGGUGGCAUGGGGACAGGGACAAUGACAUGGGGACAGUGACACAGGGACACGUUGCAUGGGGACACUGCCAUGGGGACAGUGGCGCGGGGAUACUGGAACGGGGACAAUGGCAUGGGGACCGUUGCAUGGGGACAAUUACACAAGGACAGUGACACAGGGGCACUUUGCAUGGGGACAGUGGCACGGGGACAGGGACAAUUACAUGGGGACAGUGGCACAGGGACAGUGGCACGGGGACAAUCGCAUGGGGACACUUUGCACAGGGAUGCUUUGCAUGGGGACACUUUGUCCCCAUGUCCCCAUCCUGUCCCUGUGUCCCUUGUCCCUGCAUCCCAAUGUUCUCAUGCCCCUCAUCCCUGUGUCCCCAUAUCUCCAUGUCCCUCGUCCCCAUGUCCCUUGUGUCCAUUUCCCUCAUCCCAAUGUCCCCACACCUCUUGUCCCCAUGUUCUCAUGUCCUAUGUCCCCAUGUCCCUGUGUCCCCACAUCCCUUGUGUCCAUGCCCGUCAUCCCAAUGCCCCCAUGUCUCUGUGUCCCCAUGUCCCCACAUCCCCACGUCCCUUGUCCCCAUAUCCGUAUGUUCUCACGUCCCUCAUCCCCAUGUCCCCACAUCUCCUGUCCCCAUGUCCCCCUGUCCCUUGUGUCCAUGCCCCUCAUCCCAAUGCCCCCGUGUCCCUGUGUCCCCAUGUCCCAAUGUCCCCAUGUCCCUUGUCCCCAUAUCCCAGUGUUCUCUUGCCCCUCAUCCCAAUGUCCCCAUAUCCCAAUGUCCUCAUGUCCCUCAUCCCCAUGUCCCCAUGUCCCCGUAUCCCCCUGCCCUCCCCGCGCCCCCCAUCCCCCCACGCCCCCCUCCCGCGGUGCGGGGUCUGAGCGUCCACUGCCGUCCCCGCAGACCUGGGGCUGU